CGGGUGAGUAAUGCCUAGGAAUCUGCCUGGUAGUGGGGGAUAACGUCCGGAAACGGGCGCUAAUACCGCAUACGUCCUGAGGGAGAAAGUGGGGGAUCUUCGGACCUCACGCUAUCAGAUGAGCCUAGGUCGGAUUAGCUAGUUGGUGGGGUAAAGGCCUACCAAGGCGACGAUCCGUAACUGGUCUGAGAGGAUGAUCAGUCACACUGGAACUGAGACACGGUCCAGACUCCUACGGGAGGCAGCAGUGGGGAAUAUUGGACAAUGGGCGAAAGCCUGAUCCAGCCAUGCCGCGUGUGUGAAGAAGGUCUUCGGAUUGUAAAGCACUUUAAGUUGGGAGGAAGGGCAGUAAGUUAAUACCUUGCUGUUUUGACGUUACCAACAGAAUAAGCACCGGCUAACUUCGUGCCAGCAGCCGCGGUAAUACGAAGGGUGCAAGCGUUAAUCGGAAUUACUGGGCGUAAAGCGCGCGUAGGUGGUUCAGCAAGUUGGAUGUGAAAUCCCCGGGCUCAACCUGGGAACUGCAUCCAAAACUACUGAGCUAGAGUACGGUAGAGGGUGGUGGAAUUUCCUGUGUAGCGGUGAAAUGCGUAGAUAUAGGAAGGAACACCAGUGGCGAAGGCGACCACCUGGACUGAUACUGACACUGAGGUGCGAAAGCGUGGGGGAGCAAACAGGAUUAGAUACCCUGGGUAGUCCACGCCGUAAACGAUGUCGACUAGCC
This 724-nucleotide ribosomal RNA is filed under the name Pseudomonas aeruginosa. Its description in RNAcentral is "bacterial SSU rRNA". It matches the Rfam family "Bacterial small subunit ribosomal RNA", at positions 103 to 821 of the family's 1533-position model. Lineage: Bacteria; Pseudomonadati; Pseudomonadota; Gammaproteobacteria; Pseudomonadales; Pseudomonadaceae. The record is from RNAcentral.